GACUAACGCUGGCGGCGUGCCUAAUACAUGCAAGUCGAGCGAACAGAUGAGAAGCUUGCUUCUCUGAUGUUAGCGGCGGACGGGUGAGUAACACGUGGGUAACCUACCUAUAAGACUGGGAUAACUCCGGGAAACCGGGGCUAAUACCGGAUAAUAUUUUGAACCGCAUGGUUCAAUAGUGAAAGACGGUUUCGGCUGUCACUUAUAGAUGGACCAGCGCCGUAUUAGCUAGUUGGUAAGGUAACGGCUUACCAAGGCGACGAUACGUAGCCGACCUGAGAGGGUGAUCGGCCACACUGGAACUGAGACACGGUCCAGACUCCUACGGGAGGCAGCAGUAGGGAAUCUUCCGCAAUGGGCGAAAGCCUGACGGAGCAACGCCGCGUGAGUGAUGAAGGUCUUCGGAUCGUAAAUCUCUGUUGUUAGGGAAGAACAAAUUUGUUAGUAACUGAACAAGUCUUGACGGUACCUAACCAGAAAGCCACGGCUAACUACGUGCCAGCAGCCGCCGUAA
Molecule: ribosomal RNA, 514 nt
Filed under: uncultured bacterium
Lineage: Bacteria
Description: partial 16S ribosomal RNA
Rfam family: Bacterial small subunit ribosomal RNA
Source: RNAcentral